GCACUUGGGCGGCACCACGGAGUUCGGGGAUAACGUGGAGGAUGAGUGGUUCAUUGUGUACCUGCUGCGGGAGAUCACCAGGGAGUUCCCGAGGCUGGCAGCCAGUAUUGAUGACAACGAUGGAGAGUUUCUCUUGAUAGAAGCAGCUGAUUUUCUCCCAAAGUGGCUGAAUCCUGAAAACAGUGAAAACAGGGUGUUCUUUUACAAAGGAGAGCUGCACAUCAUUGCGCCGGGGGAGCCUUGGCAGCAGGGCUGGGCCCUCUCUGCUCCCCGUGCCA
Zonotrichia albicollis (white-throated sparrow) is the source of this 278-nucleotide non-coding RNA. The record is from RefSeq and is a predicted model, not a curated record. Lineage: Eukaryota; Metazoa; Chordata; Aves; Passeriformes; Passerellidae.